GGACUCCACUGCUAUCGGGGUAAGGCUAAGCCAUGCAAGUCGAAGGCCUCCGGCUCCGGGGGCCUGGCGUACGGCUGAGUAACGCGUGGCCAACCUGCCCUGCGGAGGGGGAUAACCCCGGGAAACUGGGGAUAAACCCCCAUAGGUGACCGGGUCUGGAAGGACCGGUCGCCGAAAGUCCCGGUCGGGGACGCUCCGGCCGGGAGCCGCAGGAUGGGGCUGCGUCCUAUCAGGUAGUUGGUGGGGUAACGGCCCACCAAGCCUGUGACGGGUAGGGGCCCUGAGAGGGGGAGCCCCCAGAUGGACUCUGAGACAAGAGUCCAGGCCCUACGGGGCGCAGCAGGCGCGAAAACUCCGCAAUGGGCGAAAGCCCGACGGGGUUACCCCGAGUGCCACCCUCGUGGUGGCUUUUGCCCGCUCUAAAAAGGCGGGCGAAUAAGGGGAGGGCAAGUCGGGUGUCAGCCGCCGCGGUAAUACCCGCUCCCCGAGUGGUGGAGGCUAUUACUGGGCCUAAAGCGCCCGUAGCCGGCCCGGUGUGUCCCUCGUUAAAUCCACGGGCUUAACCCGUGGGCUGCGGGGGAUACUACCGGGCUUGGGGGUGGGAGAGGCGCCCGGUAUUCCCGGGGUAGGGGUAAAAUCCUCUGAUCCCGGGAGGACCAUCAGUGGCGAAGGCGGGGCGCCAGAACACGCCCGACGGUGAGGGGCGAAAGCUGGGGGAGCAAACGGGAUUAGAUACCCCGGUAGUCCCAGCUGUAAACGAUGCGGGCUAGCUGUCGGGGCGGCUACGGGCCGCCCCGGUAGCGAAAGGGAAGCCAUUAAGCCCGCCGCCCGGGGAGUACGGCCGCAAGGCUGAAACUUAAAGGAAUUGGCGGGGGAGCACCACAAGGGUGGACGUUGCGGCUUAAUCGGAUUCAACGCCGAAACCUUACCGGGGCUGACGCAGGAUGAAGUC
Molecule: ribosomal RNA, 952 nt
Filed under: uncultured crenarchaeote
Lineage: Archaea; Thermoproteati; Thermoproteota
Description: bacterial SSU rRNA
Rfam family: Archaeal small subunit ribosomal RNA
Source: RNAcentral